This 284-nucleotide ribosomal RNA is filed under the name uncultured Eubacteriales bacterium. RNAcentral's name for it is "uncultured Clostridiales bacterium partial 16S ribosomal RNA". It matches the Rfam family "Bacterial small subunit ribosomal RNA", at positions 62 to 339 of the family's 1533-position model. The record is from RNAcentral. Lineage: Bacteria; Bacillati; Bacillota; Clostridia; Eubacteriales.
UUAUUUGAUUUUCUUCGGAACUGAAGAUUUGGUGAUUGAGUGGCGGACGGGUGAGUAACGCGUGGGUAACCUGCCCUGUACAGGGGGAUAACAGUCAGAAAUGACUGCUAAUACCGCAUAAGACCACAGCACCGCAUGGUGCAGGGGUAAAAAACUCCGGUGGUAUAAGAUGGACCCGCGUUGGAUUAGCUAGUUGGUGGGGUAACGGCCCACCAAGGCGACGAUCCAUAGCCGGCCUGAGAGGGUGAACGGCCACAUUGGGACUGAGACACGGCCCAGACUCC